GUGCCAGCCGCCGCGGUAAUACGUAGGUGGCAAGCGUUAUCCGGAAUUAUUGGGCGUAAAGCGCGCGCAGGUGGUUUCUUAAGUCUGAUGUGAAAGCCCACGGCUCAACCGUGGAGUGUCAUUGGAAACUGGGAGACUUGAGUGCAGAAGAGGAAAGUGGAAUUCCAUGUGUAGCGGUGAAAUGCGUAGUGAUUUGGAGGAAAACAAGUGGCGAAGGCGACUUUCUGGACUG
Molecule: ribosomal RNA, 232 nt
Filed under: uncultured bacterium
Lineage: Bacteria
Description: partial 16S rRNA
Rfam family: Bacterial small subunit ribosomal RNA
Source: RNAcentral